RNAcentral lists this ribosomal RNA (1372 nucleotides) under uncultured bacterium. RNAcentral describes it as "bacterial SSU rRNA". It matches the Rfam family "Bacterial small subunit ribosomal RNA", at positions 28 to 1381 of the family's 1533-position model. The record is from RNAcentral.
GAUGAACGCUGGCGGCGUGCCUAAUACAUGCAAGUCGAGCGAACGGACGAGAAGCUUGCUUCUCUGAUGUUAGCGGCGGACGGGUGAGUAACACGUGGAUAACCUACCUAUAAGACUGGGAUAACUUCGGGAAACCGGAGCUAAUACCGGAUAAUAUUUUGAACCGCAUGGUUCAAAAGUGAAAGACGGUCUUGCUGUCACUUAUAGAUGGAUCCGCGCUGCAUUAGCUAGUUGGUAAGGUAACGGCUUACCAAGGCAACGAUGCAUAGCCGACCUGAGAGGGUGAUCGGCCACACUGGAACUGAGACACGGUCCAGACUCCUACGGGAGGCAGCAGUAGGGAAUCUUCCGCAAUGGGCGAAAGCCUGACGGAGCAACGCCGCGUGAGUGAUGAAGGUCUUCGGAUCGUAAAACUCUGUUAUUAGGGAAGAACAUAUGUGUAAGUAACUGUGCACAUCUUGACGGUACCUAAUCAGAAAGCCACGGCUAACUACGUGCCAGCAGCCGCGGUAAUACGUAGGUGGCAAGCGUUAUCCGGAAUUAUUGGGCGUAAAGCGCGCGUAGGCGGUUUUUUAAGUCUGAUGUGAAAGCCCACGGCUCAACCGUGGAGGGUCAUUGGAAACUGGAAAACUUGAGUGCAGAAGAGGAAAGUGGAAUUCCAUGUGUAGCGGUGAAAUGCGCAGAGAUAUGGAGGAACACCAGUGGCGAAGGCGACUUUCUGGUCUGUAACUGACGCUGAUGUGCGAAAGCGUGGGGAUCAAACAGGAUUAGAUACCCUGGUAGUCCACGCCGUAAACGAUGGGUGCUAAGUGUUAGGGGGUUUCCGCCCCUUAGUGCUGCAGCUAACGCAUUAAGCACUCCGCCUGGGGAGUACGACCGCAAGGUUGAAACUCAAAGGAAUUGACGGGGACCCGCACAAGCGGUGGAGCAUGUGGUUUAAUUCGAAGCAACGCGAAGAACCUUACCAAAUCUUGACAUCCUUUGACAACUCUAGAGAUAGAGCCUUCCCCUUCGGGGGACAAAGUGACAGGUGGUGCAUGGUUGUCGUCAGCUCGUGUCGUGAGAUGUUGGGUUAAGUCCCGCAACGAGCGCAACCCUUAAGCUUAGUUGCCAUCAUUAAGUUGGGCACUCUAAGUUGACUGCCGGUGACAAACCGGAGGAAGGUGGGGAUGACGUCAAAUCAUCAUGCCCCUUAUGAUUUGGGCUACACACGUGCUACAAUGGACAAUACAAAGGGCAGCGAAACCGCGAGGUCAGGCAAAUCCCAUAAAGUUGUUCUCAGUUCGGAUUGUAGUCUGCAACUCGACUACAUGAAGCUGGAAUCGCUAGUAAUCGUAGAUCAGCAUGCUACGGUGAAUACGUUCCCGGGUCU